This 987-nucleotide long non-coding RNA is filed under the name Vigna radiata. RNAcentral's name for it is "long non-coding RNA (VRAD_LNC003577)". The record is from RNAcentral. Lineage: Eukaryota; Viridiplantae; Streptophyta; Magnoliopsida; Fabales; Fabaceae.
UAUUACUGAUACAAAAUGGUGGUUCCCAUUCCCAAUAUUUUAAAUCAACAAUUAGCAAAAGAUGAAUAUUUGCUACCACUAAUAACAAAGAAGGGGAUUUUGUUACACUAAACAUAUGACUUCUACCUAUUCCAUUUCCAAAUAGCCCUCUUACUGACAUUGUUCAACUGUAUUGGGAGUUACACGUCUCUUCUCGCACUUAAGCUUUGUUAUACUACCUAAGAUUAAUUAGCCUGUCUACUGGCUGCUUUACACUUGGUGCAUGAUAGGAUACAGGGAGAGAGGGCAUAAUAGGUAAUGGGUCUAGGUUAGAAGGCAAAGGAAUAGUAUAAAUAGGACUCUUUUAUUUUGGUAAGGGGAGUUAGUGAAUGGUUUACUUUGUAAAGACCGGUUUAGAACCUGGUGAGAGGGGUUAGGCCCUCGAGUUACACUUCUUACUUCGUGAUUGUUACUGUCAAUAACAUACCCAUUGUUUCAUUCUUUCUCUGUUUUACCUGUUCGGUGAGAGAGAGAGCGUUAGUGGAUAGGUUUCAUCUUUGGGCACCUACCAGUGCAUGUUUUUUCCCAUCAAUAUCAGCUGUUUGAUUGAAAAUAAGCCAUUUUUAAAGUAAGCUAGAUUUUUUGAGGCAGAAAUUUGAAAUUUUGUAAAAAGCUUACUUUUUCCUGAUUUAUUUUUUCUUGAAAAGAAAAUUGUUUUCUUGAAUCUGAAAAUUUAUUGCUUAUAAUUAUUAUUCAACAGUUUCUCCCGUCACGAGCUUCACACAUACUAUUUUUUCAUGUAAAAGCUGGAUUUUUGUUGCAUCCAAAACAAAGUUAAUUAUUUGAAAACCUUUUUUAGCAAAACUUACCCACAUCAAAAACUGAUUCUGAUUAUAGUUUAUUAUAAGAGUAAUCUGUUAUGCAUUUAAUCAACCAUUGAAAUAAUCUAAUCUCAUAGCUUCCCAAACAGACCCUAAAUUUUUAGAUUUAGUAAAACGAAAAAUAAUA